This 473-nucleotide ribosomal RNA is filed under the name uncultured bacterium. RNAcentral's name for it is "bacterial SSU rRNA". It matches the Rfam family "Bacterial small subunit ribosomal RNA", at positions 355 to 825 of the family's 1533-position model. The record is from RNAcentral.
UGGGGAAUUGUUCACAAUGGGCGCAAGCCUGAUGACGCAACGCCGCGUGGGGGAUGAAGGUCUUCGGAUCGUAAACCCCUGUCGAAUGGGACGAAAGACUCGCGAGUGAAUACUUCGCGAGAGUGACGGUACCGUUAAAGGAAGCCACGGCUAACUUCGUGCCAGCAGCCGCGGUAAUACGAGGGGUGCAAGCGUUGCUCGGAAUUAUUGGGCGUAAAGGGUAGGUAGGUGGUCUCAUUUGUCAGGGGUGAAAGCCUUGGGCUUAACCCAAGAAGUGCCCCUGAAACGGUGAGACUUGAGUACUGGAGAGGGUCGUGGAAUUCCCGGUGUAGCGGUGAAAUGCGUAGAGAUCGGGAGGAACACCAGAGGCGAAGGCGGCGACCUGGACAGUAACUGACACUCAACUACGAAAGCGUGGGGAGCAAACAGGAUUAGAUACCCAAGUAGUCCCUGAGCGGGCUGGCAAGGCGCAU